This 305-nucleotide ribosomal RNA is filed under the name uncultured bacterium. RNAcentral's name for it is "bacterial SSU rRNA". It matches the Rfam family "Bacterial small subunit ribosomal RNA", at positions 337 to 640 of the family's 1533-position model. The record is from RNAcentral.
CCCUACGGGGGGCAGCAGUGAGGAAUAUUGGUCAAUGGUCGGGAGACUGAACCAGCCAAGCCGCGUGAGGGAUGAAGGUACAGAGUAUCGUAAACCUCUUUUGUCAGGGAACAAAGGCGGGGACGUGUCCCCGGAUGAGGGUACCUGAAGAAAAAGCAUCGGCUAACUCCGUGCCAGCAGCCGCGGUAAUACGGAGGAUGCGAGCGUUAUCCGGAUUUAUUGGGUUUAAAGGGUGCGCAGGCGGGCUGUUAAGUCAGCGGUCAAAGCCCGGGGCUCAACCCCGGCCCGCCGUUGAAACUGGCAGG